UCCAGCCUUUCAAGCUUUGGUGGGCCGAAUGGAAACAAUUCCUUUUCUGCAACUCCGCAUCGGCAUACUGCAAUCUCCUGGACCCAACCAACAUCGACCCGAACGCCGAGGUAUUUUUCUUUAGCCGAUUUUUAUUCUUUUAUCAACGCAGCUGAACACUAACAUUUUGCUAUUGCUUCAGUCCGAGAACCGUGUCCCCCAACACACAGCCGGAGUGGUCGACUAAUAGAAGAUCAUCAUCC
RNAcentral lists this long non-coding RNA (242 nucleotides) under Setaria viridis. RNAcentral describes it as "long non-coding RNA (SVIR_LNC009245)". Lineage: Eukaryota; Viridiplantae; Streptophyta; Magnoliopsida; Poales; Poaceae. The record is from RNAcentral.